UUAAGCGACUAAGCGUACACGGUGGAUGCCCUGGCAGUCAGAGGCGAUGAAGGACGUGCUAAUCUGCGAUAAGCGUCGGUGAGGUGAUAUGAACCGUUAUAACCGGCGAUUUCCGAAUGGGGAAACCCAGUGUGUUUCGACACACUAUCAUUAACUGAAUCCAUAGGUUAAUGAGGCGAACCGGGGGAACUGAAACAUCUAAGUACCCCGAGGAAAAGAAAUCAACCGAGAUUCCCCCAGUAGCGGCGAGCGAACGGGGAGGAGCCCAGAGCCUGAAUCAGUGUGUGUGUUAGUGGAAGCGUCUGGAAAGGCGUGCGAUACAGGGUGACAGCCCCGUACACAAAAAUGCACAUAUUGUGAGCUCGAUGAGUAGGGCGGGACACGUGGUAUCCUGUCUGAAUAUGGGGGGACCAUCCUCCAAGGCUAAAUACUCCUGACUGACCGAUAGUGAACCAGUACCGUGAGGGAAAGGCGAAAAGAACCCCGGCGAGGGGAGUGAAAAAGAACCUGAAACCGUGUACGUACAAGCAGUGGGAGCCUCUUAAUGGGGUGACUGCGUACCUUUUGUAUAAUGGGUCAGCGACUUAUAUUCUGUAGCAAGGUUAACCGAAUAGGGGAGCCGAAGGGAAACCGAGUCUUAACUGGGCGUUAAGUUGCAGGGUAUAGACCCGAAACCCGGUGAUCUAGCCAUGGGCAGGUUGAAGGUUGGGUAACACUAACUGGAGGACCGAACCGACUAAUGUUGAAAAAUUAGCGGAUGACUUGUGGCUGGGGGUGAAAGGCCAAUCAAACCGGGAGAUAGCUGGUUCUCCCCGAAAGCUAUUUAGGUAGCGCCUCGUGAAUUCAUCUCCGGGGGUAGAGCACUGUUUCGGCAAGGGGGUCAUCCCGACUUACCAACCCGAUGCAAACUGCGAAUACCGGAGAAUGUUAUCACGGGAGACACACGGCGGGUGCUAACGUCCGUCGUGAAGAGGGAAACAACCCAGACCGCCAGCUAAGGUCCCAAAGUCAUGGUUAAGUGGGAAACGAUGUGGGAAGGCCCAGACAGCCAGGAUGUUGGCUUAGAAGCAGCCAUCAUUUAAAGAAAGCGUAAUAGCUCACUGGUCGAGUCGGCCUGCGCGGAAGAUGUAACGGGGCUAAACCAUGCACCGAAGCUGCGGCAGCGACACUAUGUGUUGUUGGGUAGGGGAGCGUUCUGUAAGCCUGUGAAGGUGGCCUGUGAGGGUUGCUGGAGGUAUCAGAAGUGCGAAUGCUGACAUAAGUAACGAUAAAGCGGGUGAAAAGCCCGCUCGCCGGAAGACCAAGGGUUCCUGUCCAACGUUAAUCGGGGCAGGGUGAGUCGACCCCUAAGGCGAGGCCGAAAGGCGUAGUCGAUGGGAAACAGGUUAAUAUUCCUGUACUUGGUGUUACUGCGAAGGGGGGACGGAGAAGGCUAUGUUGGCCGGGCGACGGUUGUCCCGGUUUAAGCGUGUAGGCUGGUUUUCCAGGCAAAUCCGGAAAACCAAGGCUGAGGCGUGAUGACGAGGCACUACGGUGCUGAAGCGACAAAUGCCCUGCUUCCAGGAAAAGCCUCUAAGCAUCAGGUAACAUCAAAUCGUACCCCAAACCGACACAGGUGGUCAGGUAGAGAAUACCAAGGCGCUUGAGAGAACUCGGGUGAAGGAACUAGGCAAAAUGGUGCCGUAACUUCGGGAGAAGGCACGCUGAUAUGUAGGUGAAGUCCCUCGCGGAUGGAGCUGAAAUCAGUCGAAGAUACCAGCUGGCUGCAACUGUUUAUUAAAAACACAGCACUGUGCAAACACGAAAGUGGACGUAUACGGUGUGACGCCUGCCCGGUGCCGGAAGGUUAAUUGAUGGGGUUAGCGGCAACGCGAAGCUCUUGAUCGAAGCCCCGGUAAACGGCGGCCGUAACUAUAACGGUCCUAAGGUAGCGAAAUUCCUUGUCGGGUAAGUUCCGACCUGCACGAAUGGCGUAAUGAUGGCCAGGCUGUCUCCACCCGAGACUCAGUGAAAUUGAACUCGCUGUGAAGAUGCAGUGUACCCGCGGCAAGACGGAAAGACCCCGUGAACCUUUACUAUAGCUUGACACUGAACAUUGAGCCUUGAUGUGUAGGAUAGGUGGGAGGCUUUGAAGUGUGGACGCCAGUCUGCAUGGAGCCGACCUUGAAAUACCACCCUUUAAUGUUUGAUGUUCUAACGUUGGCCCGUAAUCCGGGUUGCGGACAGUGUCUGGUGGGUAGUUUGACUGGGGCGGUCUCCUCCUAAAGAGUAACGGAGGAGCACGAAGGUUGGCUAAUCCUGGUCGGACAUCAGGAGGUUAGUGCAAUGGCAUAAGCCAGCUUGACUGCGAGCGUGACGGCGCGAGCAGGUGCGAAAGCAGGUCAUAGUGAUCCGGUGGUUCUGAAUGGAAGGGCCAUCGCUCAACGGAUAAAAGGUACUCCGGGGAUAACAGGCUGAUACCGCCCAAGAGUUCAUAUCGACGGCGGUGUUUGGCACCUCGAUGUCGGCUCAUCACAUCCUGGGGCUGAAGUAGGUCCCAAGGGUAUGGCUGUUCGCCAUUUAAAGUGGUACGCGAGCUGGGUUUAGAACGUCGUGAGACAGUUCGGUCCCUAUCUGCCGUGGGCGCUGGAGAACUGAGGGGGGCUGCUCCUAGUACGAGAGGACCGGAGUGGACGCAUCACUGGUGUUCGGGUUGUCAUGCCAAUGGCACUGCCCGGUAGCUAAAUGCGGAAGAGAUAAGUGCUGAAAGCAUCUAAGCACGAAACUUGCCCCGAGAUGAGUUCUCCCUGACUCCUUGAGAGUCCUGAAGGAACGUUGAAGACGACGACGUUGAUAGGCCGGGUGUGUAAGCGCAGCGAUGCGUUGAGCUAACCGGUACUAAUGAACCGUGAGGCUUAACCUU
RNAcentral lists this ribosomal RNA (2902 nucleotides) under Escherichia coli HVH 4 (4-7276109). RNAcentral describes it as "bacterial LSU rRNA". It matches the Rfam family "Bacterial large subunit ribosomal RNA". Lineage: Bacteria; Pseudomonadati; Pseudomonadota; Gammaproteobacteria; Enterobacterales; Enterobacteriaceae. The record is from RNAcentral. RNAcentral also lists the same sequence under 2 other names.